RNAcentral lists this ribosomal RNA (253 nucleotides) under uncultured bacterium. RNAcentral describes it as "partial 16S ribosomal RNA". It matches the Rfam family "Bacterial small subunit ribosomal RNA", at positions 524 to 776 of the family's 1533-position model. The record is from RNAcentral.
UACAGAGGGUGCGAGCGUUAAUCGGAAUUACUGGGCGUAAAGCGCACGUAGGUGGCGACGUAAGUCGGGUGUGAAAGCCCCGGGCUCAACCUGGGAAUUGCAUUCGAGACUGCAUUGCUGGAGUACGGAAGAGGAGGGCGGAAUUCCCGGUGUAGCGGCGAAAUGCGUAGAUAUCGGGAGGAACAUCAGUGGCGAAGGCGGCCCUCUGGUCCAGUACUGACACUCAAGUGCGAAAGCGUGGGGAGCAAACAGG